Acanthopagrus latus (yellowfin seabream) is the source of this 1180-nucleotide long non-coding RNA. RefSeq lists it as uncharacterized. The record is from RefSeq and is a predicted model, not a curated record. NCBI's taxonomy places the organism in Eukaryota, Metazoa, Chordata, Actinopteri, Spariformes, Sparidae. The transcript is spliced from 3 exons.
AGUUAAUAAAACAGAACAUUUUGAUCUCAGGUAUGAACACAGUGAACAGUAGGCCCGUAAUUAUCAUUACGGCAUAGAACCUAAUAUAUCCCCCGCAGUGCCCUUACAGUAGCACAUAAUGGUAUUGAUGAUAUCUUAUGGGGAAGUAGUGUUGCAGUACAUUAAGAUAUAAUAAAACUGAUGCAGAAUCCAAGAUAGCCUUGUACACAGGAUGGGCCUUAAACCAAGCCUCACAUCUUGUGACAGAUAUCCCUCUAGUCUGUAUGCUGGCUUGAAUGAAAUAAUUGUACUGAAUUGUAUCCGGUAUUGCAGAGUUUUGGAAUGAGGGCAGAUGGGCUUAUUAAUAGUUAAUCUGAAUGCUAGCAGGAAUGUGUCUGUGACGCCAGCACUCAUGCAUACAGUUGCCACAGCCGUGUCUGAAGAGGGGGGCACAUCACUCCCAGGUGGCUGUCGCCAUGACAAUAAGGUUUUCCAGAGGGUGUUGUGGACUUUUGUGCAUUAGCACAGGGCUUUAUAUAAGCUUUCCAUGGAGCGACACAGCCUUUACGUAAGAGAGGGGCAGAGUGGCUUUUGGCCUCGACAGCCUUAAGCAAGUGCUACUGAAGCUGGAUUGAAAGGGUACAUCCACCAAAUAAUAUGGAGCAUGUGGAUUGAGUGGUUUGUGGUGUCAGCUUGAGCAGGUCAGCUGGAGCUUAAUGCAUGAAAAACCUUUUAGCUAACUGGGAGGAGAUUUUGCUGGUAUGGCUCUUUAUUAGCACAGUAACCCAUGAUGAUGAAGCACUUCCCACAGUGUGCUCACAGAACACCACGCGAUCUCUGUGAAGCCCUGUUGAACCUGUGCUGCUUGCCAUGACUCAGCAUCUCUCAGGACACUGCAGCAUUCAGCACUCAGCCUCCAGCAGAUAGAUCAAUAUUAUAGAGAGGAAACAGAUGCUGCUAGGAGAGACACGCCCGUCUCAGUCCUGCUCAGAGGUUAUAAUGCUUUAACAGAAUUACUUGAUGUCAGUGGUGUAAUUCGAUCAUAAAAUAUGUCCACUUAGGAAAACCAUAACAGACACUGUCACUGUCAGCAGGGAAGAAACCUGAUAAAGAAGCAAAGUCUUUGGAUUUAAAUGAAUGUAAUGAUGGUGAACUUUAAGUCUGUUCUAGAUUUUAAUCAGUGCAUGGUUUGUCAGACACU